RNAcentral lists this ribosomal RNA (494 nucleotides) under uncultured bacterium. Its description in RNAcentral is "partial 16S ribosomal RNA". It matches the Rfam family "Bacterial small subunit ribosomal RNA", at positions 30 to 523 of the family's 1533-position model. The record is from RNAcentral.
AUUGAACGCUGGCGGAAUGCUUUACACAUGCAAGUCGAACGGUAGAGGGGCAACCCUUGAGAGUGGCGAACGGGUGAGUAAUGUAUCGGAACAUGCCCAGUCGUGGGGGAUAACGUAGCGAAAGUUACGCUAAUACCGCAUACGAUCUAUGGAUGAAAGCGGGGGAUCGCAAGACCUCGCGCGAUUGGAGUGGCCGAUAUCAGAUUAGGUAGUUGGUGGGGUAAAGGCCUACCAAGCCGACGAUCUGUAGCUGGUCUGAGAGGACGACCAGCCACACUGGGACUGAGACACGGCCCAGACUCCUACGGGAGGCAGCAGUGGGGAGUUUUGGACAAUGGGCGCAAGCCUGAUCCAGCCAUUCCGCGUGCAGGAAGAAGGCCUUCGGGUUGUAAACUGCUUUUGUACGGAACGAAACGCGCUGAGCUAAUACCUCGGCGUAAUGACGGUACCGUAAGAAUAAGCACCGGCUAACUACGUGCCAACAGCAGCCGCAG